Potamilus streckersoni is the source of this 65-nucleotide non-coding RNA. NCBI's taxonomy places the organism in Eukaryota, Metazoa, Mollusca, Bivalvia, Unionida, Unionidae. The record is from the annotation of a GenBank genome assembly.
GUGACCUAGUGGUUAGAGCGUCUGCCUCGGAUGCGGGAGGUCGCGGGUUCGAACUCCGGUAAUCA